AGCCGCAACCCUCGCCUCUAGUUGCCAGCAUUCGGUUGGGCACUCUAGAGGGACUGCCGGCGACAAGUCGGAGAAGUGGGGAUGACGUCAAAUCAUCAUGCCCCUUAUGACCUGGGCUACACACGUGCUACAAUGGGCGGUACAAAGGGCUGCGAACCCGCGAGGGGGAGCGAAUCCCAAAAAGCCGCUCUCAGUUCGGAUUGCAGGCUGCAACUCGCCUGCAUGAAGCCGGAAUCGCUAGUAAUCGCGGAUCAGCACGCCGCGGUGAAUACGUUCCCGGGCCUU
This 285-nucleotide ribosomal RNA is filed under the name uncultured Geobacillus sp. RNAcentral describes it as "partial 16S ribosomal RNA". It matches the Rfam family "Bacterial small subunit ribosomal RNA", at positions 1094 to 1382 of the family's 1533-position model. The record is from RNAcentral. Lineage: Bacteria; Bacillati; Bacillota; Bacilli; Caryophanales; Anoxybacillaceae.